UGCCCAGCAACUUCUAUCCCUACCUCCUCGCGGUACUGGCCAGGGCACGAGCAACCUUAGGGAAGA
RNAcentral lists this ribozyme (66 nucleotides) under Aedes aegypti (yellow fever mosquito). RNAcentral's name for it is "drz-agam-1 ribozyme". It matches the Rfam family "drz-agam-1 ribozyme". Lineage: Eukaryota; Metazoa; Arthropoda; Insecta; Diptera; Culicidae. The record is from Rfam by way of RNAcentral.